CAGAUUUGGUGACUGUGCUCCUCUAAGCCAGUUACCUCGGUUCAUAAACUUGCCGGUUUGAUGAACCUUGAAAAACCGCCUCCCCAGGCGGUUUUUCU
Molecule: non-coding RNA, 98 nt
Filed under: Klebsiella planticola
Lineage: Bacteria; Pseudomonadati; Pseudomonadota; Gammaproteobacteria; Enterobacterales; Enterobacteriaceae
Source: RNAcentral